Molecule: long non-coding RNA, 339 nt
Organism: Oncorhynchus tshawytscha (Chinook salmon)
Lineage: Eukaryota; Metazoa; Chordata; Actinopteri; Salmoniformes; Salmonidae
Exons: 3
Source: RefSeq, a predicted model, not a curated record
AGAGGUGAAUUAAGAACAGGAGGAAGUGGUGGAUGGAAUGUUAAUGUGGAGGUGAAUUAAGAACAGGAGGAAGUGGUGGAUGGAAUGUUAAUGUGGAGGUGAAUUAAGAACAGGAGGAAGUGGUGGAUGGAAUGUUAAUGUGGAGGUGAAUUAAGAACAGGAGGAAGUGGUGGAUGUAAUGUUAAUGUGGAGGUGAAAGGGGGGAAGAAGAUACAAAGCCGGCCGGAUGCAAAGACAAGAAGCAAAAUCAAUACACUGAAACUGACAGACAACCUGAGAAACACAGUUACAAACCAAAUCCUGGGUCAGUCACAUUACAUCACAGACAUAUUGACUGUA